RNAcentral lists this ribosomal RNA (554 nucleotides) under Equus caballus (horse). RNAcentral describes it as "partial large subunit ribosomal RNA". It matches the Rfam family "Bacterial large subunit ribosomal RNA", at positions 1816 to 2597 of the family's 2925-position model. Lineage: Eukaryota; Metazoa; Chordata; Mammalia; Perissodactyla; Equidae. The record is from RNAcentral.
CACCUCUAGCAUUUCCAGUAUUAGAGGCACUGCCUGCCCAGUGACAUCUGUUUAAACGGCCGCGGUAUCCUAACCGUGCAAAGGUAGCAUAAUCACUUGUUCCCUAAAUAGGGACUUGUAUGAAUGGCCACACGAGGGUUUUACUGUCUUUUACUUCCAAUCAGUGAAAUUGACCUUCCCGUGAAGAGGUGGGAAUGACUAAAUAAGACGAGAAGACCCUAUGGGGCUUUAAUUAACUGAUUCACAAAAAACAACACACAAACCUAACCUUCAGGGACAACAAAACUUUUGAUUGAAUCAGCAAUUUCGGUUGGGGUGACCUCGGAGAACAAAACAACCUCCGAGUGAUUUAAAUCCAGACUAACCAGUCAAAAUAUAUAAUCACUUAUUGAUCCAAACCAUUGAUCAACGGAACAAGUUACCCUAGGGAUAACAGUGCAAUCCUAUUCCAGAGUCCAUAUCGACAAUUAGGGUUUACGACCUCGAUGUUGGAUCAAGACAUCCUAAUGGUGCAACCGCUAUUAAGGGUUCGUUUGUUCAACGAUUAAAGUCUU